This 468-nucleotide ribosomal RNA is filed under the name uncultured bacterium. RNAcentral describes it as "partial 16S ribosomal RNA". It matches the Rfam family "Bacterial small subunit ribosomal RNA", at positions 28 to 507 of the family's 1533-position model. The record is from RNAcentral.
GACGAACGCUGGCGGCGUGCUUAACACAUGCAAGUCGAACGGAAAGGCCCUGCUUUUGUGGGGUGCUCGAGUGGCGAACGGGUGAGUAACACGUGAGUAACCUGCCCUUGACUUUGGGAUAACUUCAGGAAACUGGGGCUAAUACCGGAUAGGAGCUCCUGCUGCAUGGUGGGGGUUGGAAAGUUUCGGCGGUUGGGGAUGGACUCGCGGCUUAUCAGCUUGUUGGUGGGGUAGUGGCUUACCAAGGCUUUGACGGGUAGCCGGCCUGAGCGGGUGACCGGCCACAUUGGGACUGGGAUACGGCCCAGACUCCUACGGGAGGCGGCAGUGGGGAAUGUUGCACAAUGGGCGGAAGCCUGAUGCAGCAACGCCGCGUGCGGGAUGACGGCCUUCGGGUUGUAAACCGCUUUCGCCUGUGACGAAGCGUGAGUGACGGUAAUGGGUAAAGAAGCACCGGCUAACUACGUG